This 125-nucleotide transfer RNA is filed under the name Ascocoryne sarcoides NRRL 50072. Its description in RNAcentral is "tRNA-Thr (AGT) (tRNA-Thr-AGT-3-1)". It matches the Rfam family "tRNA". From Rfam's summary of the family: Transfer RNA (tRNA) molecules are approximately 80 nucleotides in length. Their secondary structure includes four short double-helical elements and three loops (D, anti-codon, and T loops). Further hydrogen bonds mediate the characteristic L-shaped molecular structure. tRNAs have two regions of fundamental functional importance: the anti-codon, which is responsible for specific mRNA codon recognition, and the 3' end, to which the tRNAs corresponding amino acid is attached (by aminoacyl-tRNA synthetases). tRNAs cope with the degeneracy of the genetic code in two manners: having more than one tRNA (with a specific anti-codon) for a particular amino acid; and 'wobble' base-pairing, i.e. permitting non-standard base-pairing at the 3rd anti-codon position. Lineage: Eukaryota; Fungi; Ascomycota; Leotiomycetes; Helotiales; Gelatinodiscaceae. The record is from RNAcentral.
GCCCGCAUAGCUCAAUGGUAGAGCGCGUCACUAGUAAUGACGAGGUUGCCAGGUAAAUUUACACAUCCCCAUUCCGGCCUGAGAAUUUCUAACAAACAAUCCUAGUUCGAUUCUGUCUGUGGGCA